GACGAACGCUGGCGGCGUGCCUAAUACAUGCAAGUAGAACGCUGAAGGAGGAGCUUGCUUCUCUGGAUGAGUUGCGAACGGGUGAGUAACGCGUAGGUAACCUGCCUGGUAGCGGGGGAUAACUAUUGGAAACGAUAGCUAAUACCGCAUAACAGUAGAUGUUGCAUGACAUUUGCUUAAAAGGUGCAAUUGCAUCACUACCAGAUGGACCUGCGUUGUAUUAGCUAGUUGGUGGGGUAACGGCUCACCAAGGCGACGAUACAUAGCCGACCUGAGAGGGUGAUCGGCCACACUGGGACUGAGACACGGCCCAGACUCCUACGGGAGGCAGCAGUAGGGAAUCUUCGGCAAUGGACGGAAGUCUGACCGAGCAACGCCGCGUGAGUGAAGAAGGUUUUCGGAUCGUAAAGCUCUGUUGUAAGAGAAGAACGAGUGUGAGAGUGGAAAGUUCACACUGUGACGGUAUCUUACCAGAAAGGGACGGCUAACUACGUGCCAGCAGCCGCGGUAAUACGUAGGUCCCGAGCGUUGUCCGGAUUUAUUGGGCGUAAAGCGAGCGCAGGCGGUUAGAUAAGUCUGAAGUUAAAGGCUGUGGCUUAACCAUAGUACGCUUUGGAAACUGUUUAACUUGAGUGCAAGAGGGGAGAGUGGAAUUCCAUGUGUAGCGGUGAAAUGCGUAGAUAUAUGGAGGAACACCGGUGGCGAAAGCGGCUCUCUGGCUUGUAACUGACGCUGAGGC
Molecule: ribosomal RNA, 739 nt
Filed under: uncultured Bacilli bacterium
Lineage: Bacteria; Bacillati; Bacillota; Bacilli
Description: bacterial SSU rRNA
Rfam family: Bacterial small subunit ribosomal RNA
Source: RNAcentral